GUUCAACACAAAGAUCAGAUGAGAUUUAUCUUCAGAAAGGAAAAGCAUAUUACAUUGAAAUCUUGCUGCAAGAGUAUACAUUGAGUGCUUUUGUUGAUGUUGGACUGUACCAAUAUAAUAAUGUCUUCACCGAGCAGCAGACAGGAGAUGCAGUAAAUGAAGAACAAGUCAUCAAAUCU
Molecule: long non-coding RNA, 179 nt
Filed under: Cricetulus griseus (Chinese hamster)
Lineage: Eukaryota; Metazoa; Chordata; Mammalia; Rodentia; Cricetidae
Description: lncRNA (ENSCGRG00000024938.1)
Source: RNAcentral